AUCGGCUCUUUUAACACGUUGAAUACACCAGUUCCCAACGGAUCACUGAAGUUAAGCAACGUUGUACGUGGAUAGUCUCUGGACAAAUGGUCGUCAGGGCAAUCACGUAGGCGUAGAGU
Molecule: ribosomal RNA, 119 nt
Filed under: Diaphorina citri (Asian citrus psyllid)
Lineage: Eukaryota; Metazoa; Arthropoda; Insecta; Hemiptera; Psyllidae
Source: RNAcentral